This 23-nucleotide non-coding RNA is filed under the name Cricetulus griseus (Chinese hamster). The record is from RNAcentral. Lineage: Eukaryota; Metazoa; Chordata; Mammalia; Rodentia; Cricetidae.
UGACAGAAGCCAUCGUCCGCACA